UGGGGAAUAUUGCACAAUGGGCGAAAGCCUGAUGCAGCAACGCCGCGUGAGUGAUGAAGGUCUUCGGAUUGUAGAGCUCUGUCUUUUGGGACGAUAAUGACGGUACCAAAGGAGGAAGCCACGGCUAACUACGUGCCAGCAGCCGCGGUAAUACGUAGGUGGCGAGCGUUGUCCGGAUUUACUGGGCGUAAAGGGUGCGUAGGCGGAUGUUUAAGUGAGAUGUGAAAUACCCGGGCUUAACUUGGGUGCUGCAUUUCAAACUGGAUAUCUAGAGUGCAGGAGAGGAGAACGGAAUUCCUAGUGUAGCGGUGAAAUGCGUAGAGAUUAGGAAGAACACCAGUGGCGAAGGCGAUUCUCUGGACUGUAACUGACGCUGAGGCACGAAAGCGUGGGUAGCAAACAGGAUUAGAUACCCUGGUAGUCCACGCCGUAAACGAUGAGUACUAGGUGUAGGAGGUAUCGACCCCUUCUGUGCCGCAGUAAACA
RNAcentral lists this ribosomal RNA (486 nucleotides) under uncultured bacterium. Its description in RNAcentral is "partial 16S ribosomal RNA". It matches the Rfam family "Bacterial small subunit ribosomal RNA", at positions 355 to 857 of the family's 1533-position model. The record is from RNAcentral.